GAGACUAUACUUUCAGGGAUCAUUUCUGCAGUUCACUACUAGAGAUGUUUUUCUGAUUGUGUAGAGCACCGGAAACCACAAGGAGGAGGUACAGCAUCCUUUCCUGAACGUGAAGUGAGCUCUUGGUGUUGCUUUGCAACAGUGCAUUUGCCAUUGAUGAUCACAUGAUCAUUCUUGCUUUUCUUCGGGGUGGGGGGUGGGCAAGAGGGAGAGGAUGCAGACUGAGUGGA
Molecule: small nucleolar RNA, 230 nt
Filed under: Carlito syrichta (Philippine tarsier)
Lineage: Eukaryota; Metazoa; Chordata; Mammalia; Primates; Tarsiidae
Description: Small nucleolar RNA U3 (ENSTSYG00000028711.1)
Rfam family: Small nucleolar RNA U3
About the family: Small nucleolar RNAs (snoRNAs) are involved in the processing and modification of rRNA in the nucleolus. There are two main classes of snoRNAs: the box C/D class, and the box H/ACA class. U3 snoRNA is a member of the box C/D class.
Source: Rfam by way of RNAcentral